RNAcentral lists this ribosomal RNA (255 nucleotides) under uncultured bacterium. RNAcentral describes it as "partial 16S ribosomal RNA". It matches the Rfam family "Bacterial small subunit ribosomal RNA", at positions 524 to 776 of the family's 1533-position model. The record is from RNAcentral.
UACGGGGGGAGCAAGCGUUGUUCGGAUUUACUGGGCGUAAAGGGCGCGUAGGCGGCCACGACAAGUCACUUGUGAAAUCUCCGGGCUUAACCCGGAACUGCCAAGUGAUACUGUCGUGCUAGAGUGCGGAAGGGGCAAUCGGAAUUCUCGGUGUAGCGGUGAAAUGCGUAGAUAUCGAGAGGAACACCUGAGGUGAAGACGGGUUGCUGGGCCGACACUGACGCUGAGUGCGCGAAAGCCAGGGGAGCAAACGGG